AUACCACUUGUUGCCUCGGCGGAUCAGCCCGCUCCCGGUAAAACGGGACGGCCCGCCAGAGGACCCCUAAACUCUGUUUCUAUAUGUAACUUCUGAGUAAAACCAUAAAUAAAUCAAAACUUUCAACAACGGAUCUCUUGGUUCUGGCAUCGAUGAAGAACGCAGCAAAAUGCGAUAAGUAAUGUGAAUUGCAGAAUUCAGUGAAUCAUCGAAUCUUUGAACGCACAUUGCGCCCGCCAGUAUUCUGGCGGGCAUGCCUGUUCGAGCGUCAUUUCAACCCUCAAGCACAGCUUGGUGUUGGGACUCGCGUUAAUUCGCGUUCCUCAAAUUGAUUGGCGGUCACGUCGAGCUUCCAUAGCGUAGUAGUAAAACCCUCGUUACUGGUAAUCGUCGCGGCCACGCCGUUAAACCCCCAACUUCUGAAUGUUGACCUCGGAUCAGGUAGGAAUACCCGCUGAACUUAAGCAUAUCA
RNAcentral lists this ribosomal RNA (472 nucleotides) under Fusarium oxysporum. Its description in RNAcentral is "eukaryotic LSU rRNA". The stretch from base 118 to 271 matches the Rfam family "5.8S ribosomal RNA". Lineage: Eukaryota; Fungi; Ascomycota; Sordariomycetes; Hypocreales; Nectriaceae. The record is from RNAcentral.